CUUUAUGAAUUCAUUAGACGUGAAAUACUGAAAAUACCUGAUAUGGUGCAGGGUUGUCAAAUAAUCCUCCAAGAAAAUGAGUACACAAAUAAAAUGUAACUCCUUUCAACGGUUUCAAGUAUACAGCAGGAACAGUGAACCCUGUACACAGUGCACACAAAAUACCACGUUCUGGUUUUACUGUACUGCCGAAAAAAAAUCACUUAACACCACAGCCUCGAAAAAAUUGAUUUGUAUUCAUUGAUAUAUUACAUUAUUAAUCCGAUACGGACAGAAAUAAACUGUGGACAGUCCAGCGCUGACGGGCUGGAGACUAGUUUACAUUAAUGCAGGCACAUCUGGAGAAACUAUAGGCCCUUGGUCAAGAAAUAGGUUUGAAGUUUGAAAAGUGCUCUGGUUCAUGCUCUGAACAUACAUACAUAUGUACAUAUGUAUGUAUUUAUAUGCUUAUGUGCGACAAAAUGCACACACACAGCCCUGGAGAAAGUCAGUUCUGUGGAAGAUUCGAGAGAAGUUUAGUCUGCGCCGUGGGGCUUUCUGGCCCAGUGCCUGAGCCACGGCUUUGCUUUCCAAACUGCAAAUUCAGCAUCUAGCCAAUUUAGAAGACUUAUGGCCCGAACAAAGCGAUUGUUUGCCAACUUUGCAGACACUCCGAAGUGGAAAAACAAUGGAGGCCGACGCUAGCGACGACGACGACGACAACGACAACGGCUUGGUGCUGCCAACUGAUGCGGCAAAUGAGCGGCGGAUAGCAAUUUGCCCGCCGGACACGUAAGCGGCGCAGAUUUUCAGCAAAAAGCAUGACACAAAAGCAGCAAAAUAUAAUUAGUCGAGUCGUGAUAAAAACGGAGAACAGCAGAGACGAAAAAACCGUACGAAAAUACAUUUUAGAGGCCUGUUUUUGCGUUGUUUUUGUUUUUUUUUUGGCUUUGCGGAGCGAAACGUUCAAUUAGCGUUCAAAGGCGAUGUUGCCACUUUUCAGUUCGGCACGAAAACAACGAGAAGAAAUUUUCCGCGCUUUCGGAAGUCUCUCUCUCUCUCUCUCCCGCUCUUGGUUGUCGCUCGUUUGCUCUCUCACCACUC
Drosophila miranda is the source of this 1083-nucleotide long non-coding RNA. RefSeq lists it as uncharacterized. The record is from RefSeq and is a predicted model, not a curated record. Lineage: Eukaryota; Metazoa; Arthropoda; Insecta; Diptera; Drosophilidae. The transcript has 3 exons.